UCCAUGAGGCAGCAGGCGCGUAAAUUACCCAAUGUGGACUCCACGAGGUAGUGACGAGAAAUAUCAAUGCGGGGCGCUUCGCGUCUUGCUAUUGGAAUGAGAGCAAUGUAAAACCCUCAUCGAGGAUCAACUGGAGGGCAAGUCUGGUGCCAGCAGCCGCGGUAAUUCCAGCUCCAGAAGCGUAUGCUAAAGUUGUUGCAGUUAAAAAGCUCGUAGUUGAAUUUCUGGUGUGGGAGCCCAGGCCUCGGUGCGAAUGCGCCUUGUAUUGCCUUGCGGCUCCUUUGCCAUCCUCGUUUUUCUUUUGAAGAACGUCAUUCACUGUAAUCAAAGCAGAGUGUUCCAAGCAGGCCGUAGGGCCGGUAUGUUUAUUAUGGGAUGAUCAGAUAGGACUCGGGUGCUAUUUUGUUGGUUUGCACAUCUGAGUAAUGAUUAAUAGGAACAGUCGGGGGUAUCCGUAUUUAGGAGCUAGAGGUGAAAUUCUUGGAUUUCCGAAAGACGAACUACAGCGAAGGCAUUUACCAAGCAUGUUUUCAUUAAUCAAGAACGAAAGUCUGGGGAUCGAAGAUGAUAGANANUAUNANA
RNAcentral lists this ribosomal RNA (582 nucleotides) under Thraustochytriidae sp. ANACC TC_029. RNAcentral describes it as "bacterial SSU rRNA". It matches the Rfam family "Eukaryotic small subunit ribosomal RNA", at positions 415 to 1022 of the family's 1831-position model. The record is from RNAcentral. Lineage: Eukaryota; Bigyra; Thraustochytrida; Thraustochytriidae.